UCUUACUUAAGACUCCUACUUCUAACCAACUCCUAAUAUGACUCCUAAUCAAGACUCCUACUUCUAACCAACUCCUAAUAGGACUCCUACUCAAGACUCCUAUUCCUUUACAACUCCUUAUUCUUCUCUAAGAAAUAACCUCCUAACCCUAGCCGGCCACUUCACCUCUUUAAUAGGGGUCGGCUUAGGUAGGUUUUACAUGAA
RNAcentral lists this long non-coding RNA (204 nucleotides) under Musa acuminata (dwarf banana). Its description in RNAcentral is "long non-coding RNA (MACU_LNC011563)". Lineage: Eukaryota; Viridiplantae; Streptophyta; Magnoliopsida; Zingiberales; Musaceae. The record is from RNAcentral.